CGGAGGAUGCAAGCGUUAUCCGGAUUCAUUGGGUUUAAAGGGUGCGUAGGCGGGAUAUUAAGUCAGUGGUGAAAUCUCUCAGCUCAACUGAGAAACUGCCGUUGAUACUGAUGUUCUUGAGUUUGGCUGAAGUGGGCGGAAUGAGGCAUGUAGCGGUGAAAUGCAUAGAUAUGCCUCAGAACACCAAUUGCGAAGGCAGCUCACUAAACCAAUACUGACGCUGAGGCACGAAAGCGUGGGGAGCAAACAGGAUUAGAUACCCUGGUAGUCCACGCUGUAAACGAUGAUUACUCGCUGUUGGCGAUACACUGUCAGCGGCUAAGCGAAAGUGAUAAGUAAUCCACCUGGGGAGUACGGUCGCAAGACUG
Molecule: ribosomal RNA, 368 nt
Filed under: uncultured organism
Description: bacterial SSU rRNA
Rfam family: Bacterial small subunit ribosomal RNA
Source: RNAcentral